Molecule: ribosomal RNA, 603 nt
Filed under: uncultured fungus
Lineage: Eukaryota; Fungi
Description: eukaryotic LSU rRNA
Rfam family: 5.8S ribosomal RNA (bases 253-406)
Source: RNAcentral
AGUAAAAGUCGUAACAAGGUUUCCGUAGGUGAACCUGCGGAAGGAUCAUUAUCGAGUUUUUGAACGGGUUGUCUGCUGGCUCGAAAGGGCAUGUGCACGCCUGGCUCAUCCACUCUCUCAACUUCUGUGCACUUUUCAUAGGCCGGCUUGGAGGUGUGCGUUCGCGCGUGCACUUGUAGGUCUGGCUUAUGCUUCAUACCACAAACGAUUCAGUUUCAGAAUGUCACACUUUGCGAUAACGCAAUUAUAUACAACUUUCAGCAACGGAUCUCUUGGCUCUCGCAUCGAUGAAGAACGCAGCGAAAUGCGAUAAGUAAUGUGAAUUGCAGAAUUCAGUGAAUCAUCGAAUCUUUGAACGCACCUUGCGCUCCUUGGUAUUCCGAGGAGCAUGCCUGUUUGAGUCUCAUGGAAUUCUCAACCUUCAACUUUAUUGAUGAAGGCUUGGACUUGGAGGUCGUGCCGGCUCUCGUAGUCGGCUCCUCUGAAAUGCAUCAGUGCGAACGUUACCAGCCGCUUCAGCGUGAUAAUUAUCUGCGUUGCUGCGGGGGGUAAGUGAGUGUUCACGCUUCCAACUGUCUUCGGACGACGUUUCUGAACUCUGAG